Molecule: ribosomal RNA, 506 nt
Filed under: uncultured Actinomycetes bacterium
Lineage: Bacteria; Bacillati; Actinomycetota; Actinomycetes
Description: bacterial SSU rRNA
Rfam family: Bacterial small subunit ribosomal RNA
Source: RNAcentral
UUGCGCAAUGGGCGAAAGCCUGACGCAGCAACGCCGUAGUGCGGGAUGAAGGCCUUCGGGCUGUAAACCGCUUUCAGCAGGAACGAAAAUGACGGUACCUGCAGAAGAAGGAGCGGCCAACUACGUGCCAGCAGCCGCGGUGACACGUAGGCUCCAAGCGUUGUCCGGAUUUAUUGGGCGUAAAGAGCUCGUAGGCGGUUUAGUAAGUCGGGUGUUAAAACUCUGGGCUCAACCCGGAGAGGCCAUCCGAUACUGCUGUGACUUGAGUUCAGGAGGGGAGCGGGGAAUUCCUAGUGUAGCGGUGAAAUGCGCAGAUAUUAGGAGGAACACCGGUGGCGAAGGCGCCGCUCUGGACUGAAACUGACGCUGAGGAGCGAAAGCAUGGGUAGCAAACAGGAUUAGAUACCCUGGUAGUCCAUGCCGUAAACGGUGGGCACUAGGUGUGGGUUCCAACUAACGGGAUCCGCGCCGUCGCUAACGCAUUAAGUGCCCCGCCUGGGGAGUAC